Molecule: ribosomal RNA, 252 nt
Filed under: uncultured bacterium
Lineage: Bacteria
Description: partial 16S ribosomal RNA
Rfam family: Bacterial small subunit ribosomal RNA
Source: RNAcentral
UACGUAGGUGGCGAGCGUUAUCCGGAAUUAUUGGGCGUAAAGGGUGCGUAGGCGGCUUAUUAAGUCUGUGGUUAAAGUGCGGGGCUCAACUCCGUAUUGCCAUAGAAACUGGUUGGCUAGAGUGCAGGAGAGGGUAGUGGAAUUCCAUGUGUAGCGGUAAAAUGCGUAGAUAUAUGGAGGAACACCGGUGGCGAAGGCGGCUACCUGGCCUGUAACUGACGCUGAGGCACGAAAGCGUGGGGAGCAAAUAGG